This 752-nucleotide ribosomal RNA is filed under the name uncultured bacterium. RNAcentral describes it as "bacterial SSU rRNA". It matches the Rfam family "Bacterial small subunit ribosomal RNA", at positions 70 to 817 of the family's 1533-position model. The record is from RNAcentral.
GGAAUGUAGCUUGCUACAUUACCUAGCNNNNGACGGGUGAGUAAUGCUUAGGAAUCUGCCUAUUAGUGGGGGACAACAUUCCGAAAGGAAUGCUAAUACCGCAUACGUCCUACGGGAGAAAGCAGGGGACCUUCGGGCCUUGCGCUAAUAGAUGAGCCUAAGUCGGAUUAGCUAGUUGGUGGGGUAAAGGCCUACCAAGGCGACGAUCUGUAGCGGGUCUGAGAGGAUGAUCCGCCACACUGGGACUGAGACACGGCCCAGACUCCUACGGGAGGCAGCAGUGGGGAAUAUUGGACAAUGGGGGGAACCCUGAUCCAGCCAUGCCGCGUGUGUGAAGAAGGCCUUUUGGUUGUAAAGCACUUUAAGCGAGGAGGAGGCUACUAGUAUUAAUACUACUGGAUAGUGGACGUUACUCGCAGAAUAAGCACCGGCUAACUCUGUGCCAGCAGCCGCGGUAAUACAGAGGGUGCGAGCGUUAAUCGGAUUUACUGGGCGUAAAGCGUGCGUAGGCGGCUGAUUAAGUCGGAUGUGAAAUCCCUGAGCUUAACUUAGGAAUUGCAUUCGAUACUGGUCAGCUAGAGUAUGGGAGAGGAUGGUAGAAUUCCAGGUGUAGCGGUGAAAUGCGUAGAGAUCUGGAGGAAUACCGAUGGCGAAGGCAGCCAUCUGGCCUAAUACUGACNNNGAGGUACGAAAGCAUGGGGAGCAAACAGGAUUAGAUACCCUGGUAGUCCAUGCCGUAAACGAUGUCUACU